GGUUAAGCGACUAAGCGUACACGGUGGAUGCCCUGGCAGUCAGAGGCGAUGAAGGACGUGCUAAUCUGCGAAAAGCGUCGGUAAGGUGAUAUGAACCGUUAUAGCCGGCGAUGUCCGAAUGGGGAAACCCAGUGCAAUUCGUUGCACUAUCGUUAACUGAAUACAUAGGUUAACGAGGCGAACCGGGGGAACUGAAACAUCUAAGUACCCCGAGGAAAAGAAAUCAACCGAGAUUCCCCCAGUAGCGGCGAGCGAACGGGGAGCAGCCCAGAGUCUGAAUCAGCUUGUGUGUUAGUGGAACGGUCUGGAAAGUCCGACGGUACAGGGUGAUAGUCCCGUACACCAAAAUGCACAGGUUGUGAACUCGAAGAGUAGGGCGGGACACGUGGUAUCCUGUCUGAAUAUGGGGGGACCAUCCUCCAAGGCUAAAUACUCCUGACUGACCGAUAGUGAACCAGUACCGUGAGGGAAAGGCGAAAAGAACCCCGGCGAGGGGAGUGAAAAAGAACCUGAAACCGUGUACGUACAAGCAGUGGGAGCACCUUCGGGUGUGACUGCGUACCUUUUGUAUAAUGGGUCAGCGACUUAUAUUCUGUAGCAAGGUUAACCGUAUAGGGGAGCCGCAGGGAAACCGAGUCUUAACUGGGCGUUAAGUUGCAGGGUAUAGACCCGAAACCCGGUGAUCUAGCCAUGGGCAGGUUGAAGGUUGGGUAACACUAACUGGAGGACCGAACCGACUAAUGUUGAAAAAUUAGCGGAUGACUUGUGGCUGGGGGUGAAAGGCCAAUCAAACCGGGAGAUAGCUGGUUCUCCCCGAAAGCUAUUUAGGUAGCGCCUCGUGAACUCAUCUUCGGGGGUAGAGCACUGUUUCGGCUAGGGGGUCAUCCCGACUUACCAACCCGAUGCAAACUACGAAUACCGAAGAAUGUUAUCACGGGAGACACACGGCGGGUGCUAACGUCCGUCGUGAAGAGGGAAACAACCCAGACCGCCAGCUAAGGUCCCAAAGUCAUGGUUAAGUGGGAAACGAUGUGGGAAGGCACAGACAGCCAGGAUGUUGGCUUAGAAGCAGCCAUCAUUUAAAGAAAGCGUAAUAGCUCACUGGUCGAGUCGGCCUGCGCGGAAGAUGUAACGGGGCUAAACCAUGCACCGAAGCUGCGGCAGCGACACUAUGUGUUGUUGGGUAGGGGAGCGUUCUGUAAGCCUGCGAAGGUGACCUGUGAGGGUUGCUGGAGGUAUCAGAAGUGCGAAUGCUGACAUAAGUAACGAUAAAGCGGGUGAAAAGCCCGCUCGCCGGAAGACCAAGGGUUCCUGUCCAACGUUAAUCGGGGCAGGGUGAGUCGACCCCUAAGGCGAGGCCGAAAGGCGUAGUCGAUGGGAAACAGGUUAAUAUUCCUGUACUUGGUGUUACUGCGAAGGGGGGACGGAGAAGGCUAUGUUAGCCGGGCGACGGUUGUCCCGGUUUAAGCAUGUAGGCUGGUUGUCCAGGCAAAUCCGGAUAAUCAAGGCUGAGGUGUGAUGACGAGGCACUACGGUGCUGAAGUAACAAAUGCCCUGCUUCCAGGAAAAGCCUCUAAGCAUCAGGUAACAUUAAAUCGUACCCCAAACCGACACAGGUGGUCAGGUAGAGAAUACCAAGGCGCUUGAGAGAACUCGGGUGAAGGAACUAGGCAAAAUGGUGCCGUAACUUCGGGAGAAGGCACGCUGGUGUGUAGGUGAAGUCCCUGCGGAUGGAGCUGAGACCAGUCGAAGAUACCAGCUGGCUGCAACUGUUUAUUAAAAACACAGCACUGUGCAAACACGAAAGUGGACGUAUACGGUGUGACGCCUGCCCGGUGCCGGAAGGUUAAUUGAUGGGGUUAUCCGUAAGGAGAAGCUCUUGAUCGAAGCCCCGGUAAACGGCGGCCGUAACUAUAACGGUCCUAAGGUAGCGAAAUUCCUUGUCGGGUAAGUUCCGACCUGCACGAAUGGCGUAAUGAUGGCCAGGCUGUCUCCACCCGAGACUCAGUGAAAUUGAACUCGCUGUGAAGAUGCAGUGUACCCGCGGCAAGACGGAAAGACCCCGUGAACCUUUACUAUAGCUUGACACUGAACAUUGAGCCUUGAUGUGUAGGAUAGGUGGGAGGCUUUGAAGCGUGGACGCCAGUCUGCGUGGAGCCAACCUUGAAAUACCACCCUUUAAUGUUUGAUGUUCUAACGUUGGCCCCUUACCGGGGUUGCGGACAGUGUCUGGUGGGUAGUUUGACUGGGGCGGUCUCCUCCCAAAGCGUAACGGAGGAGCACGAAGGUUAGCUAAUCCUGGUCGGACAUCAGGAGGUUAGUGCAAUGGCAUAAGCUAGCUUGACUGCGAGCGUGACGGCGCGAGCAGGUGCGAAAGCAGGUCAUAGUGAUCCGGUGGUUCUGAAUGGAAGGGCCAUCGCUCAACGGAUAAAAGGUACUCCGGGGAUAACAGGCUGAUACCGCCCAAGAGUUCAUAUCGACGGCGGUGUUUGGCACCUCGAUGUCGGCUCAUCACAUCCUGGGGCUGAAGUAGGUCCCAAGGGUAUGGCUGUUCGCCAUUUAAAGUGGUACGCGAGCUGGGUUUAGAACGUCGUGAGACAGUUCGGUCCCUAUCUGCCGUGGGCGCUGGAGAAUUGAGGGGGGCUGCUCCUAGUACGAGAGGACCGGAGUGGACGCAUCACUGGUGUUCGGGUUGUCAUGCCAAUGGCACUGCCCGGUAGCUAAAUGCGGAAGAGAUAAGUGCUGAAAGCAUCUAAGCACGAAACUUGCCCCGAGAUGAGUUCUCCCUGAGACUUUAAGUCUCCUGAAGGAACGUUAAAGACGAUGACGUUGAUAGGCCGGGUGUGUAAGCGCAGCGAUGCGUUGAGCUAACCGGUACUAAUGAACCGUGAGGCUUAACCUU
RNAcentral lists this ribosomal RNA (2902 nucleotides) under Klebsiella pneumoniae. Its description in RNAcentral is "23S ribosomal RNA". It matches the Rfam family "Bacterial large subunit ribosomal RNA". Lineage: Bacteria; Pseudomonadati; Pseudomonadota; Gammaproteobacteria; Enterobacterales; Enterobacteriaceae. The record is from RNAcentral.